AGAGUUUGAUCCUGGCUCAGAUUGAACGCUGGCGGCAUGCCUUACACAUGCAAGUCGAACGGCAGCGCGGGGGGUAACUCCUGGCGGCGAGUGGCGAACGGGUGAGUAAUAUAUCGGAACGUGCCCUGGAGUGGGGGAUAACUAGUCGAAAGAUUAGCUAAUACCGCAUACGAUCUACGGAUGAAAGUGGGGGAUUCGCAAGAACCUCAUGCUCGUGGAGCGGCCGAUAUCUGAUUAGCUAGUUGGUAGGGUAAAAGCCUACCAAGGCGACGAUCAGUAGCUGGUUUGAGAGAACGACCAGCCACACUGGGACUGAGACACGGCCCAGACUCCUACGGGAGGCAGCAGUGGGGAAUUUUGGACAAUGGGGGCAACCCUGAUCCAGCAAUGCCGCGUGUGUGAAGAAGGCCUUCGGGUUGUAAAGCACUUUUGUCAGGGAAGAAACGGUGAGGGC
This 454-nucleotide ribosomal RNA is filed under the name uncultured bacterium. RNAcentral's name for it is "bacterial SSU rRNA". It matches the Rfam family "Bacterial small subunit ribosomal RNA", at positions 8 to 460 of the family's 1533-position model. The record is from RNAcentral.